Molecule: ribosomal RNA, 773 nt
Filed under: uncultured bacterium
Lineage: Bacteria
Description: bacterial SSU rRNA
Rfam family: Bacterial small subunit ribosomal RNA
Source: RNAcentral
GGGCUCAACUUGGAGAUUGCAUUUGAAACUGGGUAUCUUGAGGGUAGGAGAGGAAAGUGGAAUUCCUAGUGUAGCGGUGAAAUGCGUAGAUAUUAGGAGGAACACCAGUGGCGAAGGCGACUUUCUGGACUAUACCUGACACUGAGGCGCGAAAGCGUGGGGAGCGAACGGGAUUAGAUACCCCGGUAGUCCACGCCGUAAACGAUGGAUACUAGGUGUAGGGGGUAUCGACCCCCUCUGUGCCGCAGCUAACGCAAUAAGUAUCCCGCCUGGGGACUACGGUCGCAAGACUAAAACUCAAAGGAAUUGACGGGGACCCGCACAAGCGGUGGAGCAUGUGGUUUAAUUCGACGCAACGCGAAGAACCUUACCAGGGCUUGACAUCCCGCGCCAGGCUUGGAAACAAGCUGUUCCGGCCUUCGGGCCGGACGCGGAGACAGGUGGUGCAUGGUUGUCGUCAGCUCGUGUCGUGAGAUGUUGGGUUAAGUCCCGCAACGAGCGCAACCCCUACUUUUAGUUGCCAUCAUUCAGUUGGGCACUCUAAAGGAACUGCCGGUGACAAACCGGAGGAAGGUGGGGAUGACGUCAAAUCAUCAUGCCCUUUAUGUCCUGGGCUACACACGUGCUACAAUGGUCGGUACAAAGGGUUGCAAAGCCGCGAGGUGGAGCCAAUCCCAAAAAGCCGGUCUCAGUUCGGAUUGCAGGCUGCAACCCGCCUGCAUGAAGUCGGAAUCGCUAGUAAUCGCGAGUCAGCAUAUCGCGGUGAAUACGUU